Long non-coding RNA from Peromyscus leucopus (white-footed mouse), 3197 nucleotides. RefSeq lists it as uncharacterized. NCBI's taxonomy places the organism in Eukaryota, Metazoa, Chordata, Mammalia, Rodentia, Cricetidae. The transcript has 2 exons. The record is from RefSeq and is a predicted model, not a curated record.
CGUGUGGGGAGGGUGCAAAGGAGCAAGACUGAUACCAGAAGUGGGAAAGAAGAAAGAAGUCUUGUCACUUUUAUAAAGAAUAACUUGCAAUGCAAAAAAAAAAAAAAUUGUCAUCAACAUUGAGUGGGAAAAAAUAAGGCAGACAGAUGGGCUGAGAGCAGAACCAAUGCAAGGGAGCUAAAUACAUUCUCUUUACUCCACUCUGACAGGGCCUAGGGAGUAUCUGUGUGCCAUGUUUCCACACAUGCCUUUAUGCAUGCUGUCCUCUUCUGCGAGAGGGUCGUUCAAGCCACCUGCAAGGUUUCAUUUGUGGCGUUAUAGAAGCCUUCUUAUAGCAAGGCAUGGCUUUUGAAUCACUCACUAGCUUUGGCGCUCUUCUCCAUAAAACAAGACUAACAAUAGCAGCCACCCCUCGGCAGAAGCUGGGAAGCUGAAACAGUAAGUAGCCUGCGUGCACAGGGCCAACAUUACCGAGCAGAACUCAAGCAAGACAAAGCAGGGCAGGCAACUUGCAGCUCGGGGAACACUUCUAACCUCCGUCUGGUCUGGUCUACGGGAUUGCUGGGCCUGUGCUCUUUCACUGGAUCUCUAGAGUCCUAUUCCCAGGGGCCGGGGUGGAGGUGGCGGUGCCGCAGAAAGGUGCAUCUCUCCCUGCUCACCACAGCCCGUUAUUACACAAGAGCAGUUGGACCACAGUUCCCCCGAGAGUGGCAGGGGUGUGUGGGAAGGGGUACAGUGAGAGAGGGUGGAGAGGCCUCCCAGAGCAACUGCCAUGAGAGUGUGGGGAAGGAACUCCUGGGAGAACUUUUCUUUUUAAAACGACAGUACUGAUGUACGGGACGGAAAUGCUCCUCUUUGAAAGGAAAUAAAAACAGUUUGCUGACCAUGUUUUGUCCUGCUCCUGCUUUUGGCUGGCUGGCUUUGCAGUUAUUAAUGCUGUCACUUGUAACCUACCUACCGGAGUUAGCUCUGCCACCCGCUGUUGUUAUCUCCCCCAAUCUCUUGGCUGCCUUAGGAAAUGCAAACUAACUUUAAUAUUGGUUUAAGCAAAAAUAGAGCAGGAUUAACUGGCUGCUGAGAAGAAACAGAAAACAGGAGCUCAGACAAAUGAGGAACUCAGAGGGAAUUCUGGGCCGUUUCUAUCCACCCAGCAGGACUUUAUCCAGGCGCCCAUCCUCUGCAGAGCAGUUACUGGCCACUUUGCUGGGGUCCUUUAUCGCAUGUGUCUGUCACGGAUUUCGGAGCUAGAAUAGCAUCCUGGCUCAUCCACUUGGACUAAAAAGGCACUAUAGUACUUUCAUUCUUGUCCUCUACUUUGAGGUAUAAACAAGCAGAAUAACACCCCCCUCCCAAAAAAAAUCCUCACAAAACAAAAUUUAAAAACAAUGAGGCAAAGUGAGGGGGAACAAUUUUCUUACUUCCUUCCUUCACAAUUGUUAUGUCUUUAUCAUUAUUCCUCUCAGUAGCCAUCAAGGAAAAUAUUGAAAAUGAACACUUUAUCUAUUCCUUGACAGCCAUUUUCAGAACCGUUAAAUCAUCAUUAGAGUAACCUGAUGGGUCUGUCAGUCAUACCGCUAAAUGAGGAGAUACUUCAGCACCUGGAGAGACAGCUGGAGGAGUCUGGUGCAGCCUAGGGACAUGGAAGUCCAGAAAAGGCUUUGUAUCUUUCUGUUCAUUUGAUUUAAGCAACAGGUCUGUUAGAGUUUUCCAGCUCAGUAGAGUGCAUCUACCACAUUCAAGUCAAACACCCAACUACACCUGUGAUUCAGCCUGGCUUUUGCCCUCUGAAAUCUUGUGACAAGCCUUAUCUCUCAUCUCCAGUUGGAAUCAUAGAGCUGUUGCAAAGACUCAGGAUGGUGCCGAGCAGUCAGUCAUGCACACAGCCUGAGAUCAGUUCCCAAAGAGCUCUUUAAAGCAUGUUGAGCUUCUAACAAAGGCUCAGAGCAGUACAACAGGUCUGAGGAUCCUUAAAGCAGUCUUUGUUAUUUUGACAAUAAGCCACGUUCUUUACUCCAGAAGGUUGCAUGAGAAUUGUUACCAGUGAUCUCCUCUAUUGUUCAUGUCUACAUAUGUUCAUAUAUACAUCAUACUAAUGUGAACAGUGUAUAUUUCUGUUGGUCCUGGCAGGUUGUGUUUUAUUUUGCCUGUAGUUCCUGGGAAUCAUAAAAGGAAAAUACUAUAGAUCUACAGAAUAGCAAGCAAACAAAAUGACAGUGCAAAUAUGUAUAAACAGUGCACUCAAUCAAAUACUUACUGAACUCUUGUUUCAUUCCAGGCCAUCUUCUAAGAGCUGCCAAGGAGCUCACUGAACGAAUAAGCCGUGGUGCCUGUGUUUUCACAAAAUUGUUAAGAAAACAAAGCACAGUGAGGGAACAUUAAGUAUUGAGACUGUUUACGCGAAGUAACGCAGAGGAAAUUAUAUAUUGGGACUGCUUUUCAACAACAUUCUGCAAGUGAUUAUAAGCAUAAGGACCGAGCAGUGUGAAAAGAGCCUUUGAUUGUUUUCAACCCAGUGGAGAAUGUAUCUUAGUAAACAUCAACAUCUCAGCUACUCACUUCCAUAGUAACCAAACAGUCUAGGGAAGUGGUAACAUUAAUACUUAUCAGGACAAUUAAAAUAAUGAUAGCAUAUGCUGAGAUGGACUAUAAUUUAGGCAAAGGUAAUGUGAUUUUGCUGGUAUUAUCUCAUUUAAGCCUCAUAAUAACACUCCAAGUUAACAAGUAUUACUAAGGGCUCAGAGACAGUAGACAACAUUCUGUCCUGUAAGUGGCAAGAACUAUUUGGCCACAGCUCAUGCUUCAUAGCCACUAGGUGACAUGUCAAUAUGGGAGUAUGCCUCAUCCUUGUACUUAUUUUUGAAAGCAAAGAAUGCAGAAAAUCUGAGUUGAAUUAUGUGGAGGGAACAGGUUGGUGGGAUAUAGGGAAUCAGAGUAAAUUCUCCUAUGUACAUUCUACCAACAUGUGUAAUGGGGCAAGGAAUAUUUGUAGGCAUGUGUUUACAUACAGAUUGCUAGGAAGUCAACUUUUUGUUCAAAUGACACUUUGGAAUAGAGGUCUAGUGCAUGUUAUAUACAGUAGAUGAAGAAAGAAUCACAAAGAUUGUUAUUCCUUACCUUUGUAAAGAGAAUGUAUGUAGAUGUAGUAUACAUUUUAAACAUUAACUCACAAAUUCAAUAAAAAGUUCAGAAAAAUUAAA